AACCCAUGUUGAGGAUAUUCCGUUUGCAGGAUCACCUUGAACCUAUCCCAUGUCUCAAAUAGAGACUCAAAUUCCUUUUGCACAAAUAAUGAUAUUCCAUUGCUAAGUUU
Small nucleolar RNA from Dioscorea cayenensis subsp. rotundata (Guinea yam), 110 nucleotides. The record is from RefSeq and is a predicted model, not a curated record. Lineage: Eukaryota; Viridiplantae; Streptophyta; Magnoliopsida; Dioscoreales; Dioscoreaceae.